GAUGAACGCUGGCGGCGUGCCUAAUACAUGCAAGUCGAGCGAACAGAUAAGGAGCUUGCUCCUUUGACGUUAGCGGCGGACGGGUGAGUAACACGUGGGUAACCUACCUAUAAGACUGGGAUAACUUCGGGAAACCGGAGCUAAUACCGGAUAACAUUUGGAACCGCAUGGUUCUAAAGUGAAAGAUGGUUUUGCUAUCACUUAUAGAUGGACCCGCGCCGUAUUAGCUAGUUGGUAAGGUAACGGCUUACCAAGGCGACGAUACGUAGCCGACCUGAGAGGGUGAUCGGCCACACUGGAACUGAGACACGGUCCAGACUCCUACGGGAGGCAGCAGUAGGGAAUCUUCCGCAAUGGGCGAAAGCCUGACGGAGCAACGCCGCGUGAGUGAUGAAGGGUUUCGGCUCGUAAAACUCUGUUAUUAGGGAAGAACAAACGUGUAAGUAACUGUGCACGUCUUGACGGUACCUAAUCAGAAAGCCACGGCUAACUACG
Molecule: ribosomal RNA, 495 nt
Filed under: uncultured bacterium
Lineage: Bacteria
Description: partial 16S ribosomal RNA
Rfam family: Bacterial small subunit ribosomal RNA
Source: RNAcentral